This 635-nucleotide ribosomal RNA is filed under the name uncultured fungus. RNAcentral's name for it is "eukaryotic LSU rRNA". It matches the Rfam family "Eukaryotic large subunit ribosomal RNA", at positions 24 to 664 of the family's 3401-position model. Lineage: Eukaryota; Fungi. The record is from RNAcentral.
CCCGCUGAACUUAAGCAUAUCAGUAAGCGGAGGAAAAGAAACUAACAAGGAUUCCCCUAGUAACGGCGAGCGAAGCGGGAAGAGUUCAAAUUUAAAAUCUGGGUGGGUCUCCCACUCCGAAUUGUAAUUUAAAGAGGCGCUAUCUGGGCCUGGCCUGGUGCUCAAGUCCCUUGGAAUAGGGCGUCACAGAGGGUGAGAACCCCGUCUGGGCACUGGUGCUGGGUCCUCCAUGAGGCGCUUUCUACGAGUCGAGUUGUUUGGGAAUGCAGCUCAAAAUGGGUGGUAAACUCCAUCUAAAGCUAAAUAUUGGCGAGAGACCGAUAGCGAACAAGUACCGUGAGGGAAAGAUGAAAAGCACUUUGGAAAGAGAGUUAAACAGUACGUGAAAUUGUUGAAAGGGAAACGUUUGAAGUCAGUCGCGUCGGCCGAGACUCAACCUUGCUUCUGCUCGGUGCACUUCUCGGUUGACGGGUCAGCAUCAAUUUUGACCGCCGGAUAAAGGUCGGGGGAAUGUGGCAUCCUUCGGGAUGUGUUAUAGACCUCGAUUCGGAUACGGCGAUUGGGAUUGAGGAACUCGGCGCUUUGCGUCCAGGAUGCUGGCAUAAUGGCUUUAAGCGACCCGUCUUGAAACACGG